UAAAAAACUGAAUUUGAUAAAUUAAUUUGCGUACUACUAAGCUGUUUUUUCAACCCACAAUGGCGGAAGGAGGAGAAGAUAUCGAUUUGGUCAAGGAUAUAAUUAUAACGCCAUUCUCAAGACGAACUUUUCAAGAAAAGUUAAACAUUGUAUGGAGAGGUCGCCCAACGCCGACGCUACAAAGCCUGUCACAAGCGGGAAAGGGGUUCGUUCGCCACUUUCAAAGUUCCAACUACGAGCGCUAUCAAUGGCUCACAGGCUCCAAGAAGCACUGCAAACUGUACUGCUGGGAAUGCCUAUUAUUACAAUUGAGCGAGAGAGAGGCGCAGGUUCAGUCAAAUCUACGAUGACACAAAGCGCAUCUCAAGUUUACCCAGCGCUCAGCACAAGGAGACCCUCGCACAUACCAACAACUCCACAGCAAUAUUCUGGACAACAUUUUUGCCAGAAACGAAACAGGUUUCAAGACCACGAAAAAUGUGUUUCUCUCCCUCCUGGACCCCCAGCACUUUCAGACCUACCGGAAAAAAAUUCCCGCAAACAGUCUUCUCCAGCUUAACAGAGUCACGGAACACUGUUCGACCUAUCCAAGCUAAAAACAGAACUGACUGUAAUGUAUGCUAUGACUGAUUUUGAAGGGAAAAGUCCCUCUGAUCUCCUUGAUUUCCUUAAGCAGAAACAUCUGAGUGAGGGCAUGGGGCAACUUUACACAUUGGCAUGUGUGACAGUGACUAUCCCUGUGUCCACGGCUUCUGUCGAGCGGUCAUUCUCGGCCUUAAAGCGAAUCAAAACGUAUUCCAGAAAUGCUACUGGACAGGCUCGGCUUUCAGCAUUAGCCUCCAUGUCGAUAGAAAGGGACUUAUUGGUGGAACUAAAACGCACAGAUAGACUGUACAACAGAGUCAUUGAAGUCUUCUUGAGGAAAGAAAGGAGGAUGGAUUUUGUGUUCAAAUAAUCAGUCUUUGGUGAGUAGGCAUACAAUGCAUUUGAUUUUUUAUUAAAUGUGUAUGUAUGUUUCGCAUUUUAUUUCGUUAAUAUUAAAUAGCCUAUAUAUUAACAAAAUAAAAUGGCAAAUUUAUUUGUUUUCUUUUUAUUUUCAGUGAAUAGUUUGUCUUUAUCAUCACGGUGAAACUGCUUUGGGUGCGACAAUGCGCUGUUUAGUGAACACACUGUAUUUUAUUUUUUGGGGACUUAAAGCUCAAAGUUUGUGGACCAGAAAUGGAUAGAAGAAGAAUAUUAAUAUAACUCUUUUGCACUCGACUAUGUUCUUGCCUAUUAGUUGAACUGUACUGUAUUGUACUCUUCCCCUGCAAUUCUAUGAAUAAAAAUGUCAAUUUCAAGGUGACGCAACGCCUGGUUAUACUGCGUUUCUAUCUAAAUGUAUAGUGUCUAGAGCCAUGGCAUCAUAAUGAUGGUAAUACGAGGUGGAUUCAUUCGGGUGGGACUGUGUAGGACCUCACUGAAGGCCCACGGCACGCCACUGCGAACCAGUGCACACAUCAACAACAGUCACCCACGAAGCAUCGUUACCCAUCGCUCCACAAAAGCCGCGGCCCUUGCAGAGCAAGGGGAACCACUACUUCAAGGUCUCAGAACCACUACUUCAAGGUCUCGGUGACGUCACCGAUUGAAACGCUAUUUAGUGCGCACCACGGCUGACUAGCUAGCCGUUUCACAUCCGUUACAUAUGCAGAACUGAGCGAUUUCUUCUCUGGGCCAGCGGUUUUUGGUCUUCAUUUAACGUUCGAGGUACGCAUUAGGGUUAGCAGUGUGGAUAAGGUUAGGUUUAAAAUCCGUUUUUAUGACUUUGUGGCUGACGUCUCUGCAGAACUGCCUCCAAGGUAAGAAUCAUGACAAUAAAUGCCAACCUGCAGAUAUAUACUAGAAUGCUUCGAACCACAUGUCCCGGUGUUGUACGGAGAAGAAUCUCCCCCCUGCCCCCCUUUCUACUCUUCACUUCGUUGUCAGUUUAACCCACUGAUUUUAGUGGAAGAUAGCAUUUUUGUCUGCAGUUUUCGGUUUGACUAUUUGUUUCAAAUGUAUGUAGCUGUUCUAGCUUGUAUGGCACCCUGGGCGAACCCCCCCCACUUGUAUUCGACUAGUAUUUUUGAAAGUGUAAGGAUAAUAAUUCAGCCAUAGUUGUUCUGAAAUGUUUGUUGCUUGCCAACAUUUUACUCCCUCUGUUUAAUAUAACACAUUUAUUAAUUUCGGUUGCCUAUCCUGCGGUGAAGUUUGAUCUAUAGAAAGUAUUUGACUCUAGCCACAAAAUUAAGGAAAUUAGAAGGGAGGGGGGAGAAUUCUAGCAGGUAGCCUGCAGAGAUCCUACGCCGCAGACAAACGGAGACGUCAUGCUGUUUGUGGUGUUCCUUGCUAGACUGAACUUAUAUUAUCUCAUGCUGUCCUUCAACUGCAAAAUGUCAGUAAAAACUGGAAGGAAGAGCGUUAUUCCUUCUUUCCUGUUAGGAAUUUCAUUCAAGUUAAGAAUGUCCUAAAACUCAUACUCGAAGAGAUGUCAUGACAAAUUAUUGCAGGAAUUUGUAUUGUUUUGAGUUUGACUAAUAUUCCUGGUCCAUUAUUUCACAGGUUGUAUUUGGAAAAAGGUAGCUAUGUUAACACACUCUCUAUCAUUCAUCAGUAUUAAUGCCCCCCCCAGCUAUAGAAUGAUCUUUACAUUGAAUAAUCUAAUGUGUAUGUAUCUGUGAUUUUAAAAUCAAAGUUGACCCAUGAUACUGGUAUCCUUUUGUCUCUUCCACUGGAUGGCCGAUGUGAUGAGUUUUCUGUUCUGGCCAACAGUGUAAUCCUCCUCUGCCUGUUUGUGUGAAUACAUCUCACUGUUUCUCUCAGUUGCAAUGAAGGACAUGUGUUUCCUGUGUAACGACACAAAGUGCCCAGAGGUGACAAAAUGUUUUGAUCAUAAUGGUGACCUGAACCAGAAUCUGCUGACGAUGCCAGGUCCUUUCCAGCAAUGCACAUCCACCCCCUAUCCUCCUUCUGGGAGGUGCACCAUUUGUAGUCUGGAUUAUUAUUAUUACACGCUGUGCAGAAACGUCUCAGAGAGCAUCCAGCCUGCCCUGGAGGCCAACAGCACAGCCAUUACCAACUAUGAACAAGCCAAUUGCCCUGUCAUCAGCAUCGCACCAACUACUGUGAAUGGUUCAGACUUCACUGGAGCUGCUGCUCAAUAUGGACAUCCUGGGGGUGAACUGUGGUGGUGUUUACUGAUCCUCGUCCUGGUCGUUGUUUGCAUUGGCAUCAUUGCUUACAGGUGUAUCAAAAAGCGCAAAAUAGAAAACCUUGUCAUAUAAGGCACUCAGGACUACCCAUCCCUUAGCCAAGCUAUUUGGACCCAACCACCAGAGACUGGGACAACCCUCAGGACUACCCAAACCCCCAGAUCAGGAUGCUGCUGCAUUAUCUCUGCCUUAAUUCCAUCACUUUAACUCUUCUUAAAGUUGUAAUCUUUUAAUACAUUUUCAUAUUCAGAUUCUUGUCAAUCACUACCAUUAAACUAGUGCCUUG
Long non-coding RNA from Oncorhynchus tshawytscha (Chinook salmon), 3519 nucleotides. Lineage: Eukaryota; Metazoa; Chordata; Actinopteri; Salmoniformes; Salmonidae. The record is from Ensembl.